CUCGAUUCAUGUUCCAUAUAAUUAAAAAUGGUGGUUAUUAAUGAGAAUAAAAAUACUUAAUCAGAUAUUCCGUUAAUUAAAAAAAGUUAAUGCCUCUAAUGAAUGACAAAAUGCAUCUUUGAUUCAUACCCGACAUAUAUGUUGCAUACGAGCCACAGAUGAGUUCAAAUCCAUACAAGAGAGAAUGGUGGAUUUCUGAAAGCGAAAUGUUGUUCAAAUCCUUAAAAUGCCACGAUGUCAUCACUAUCACUUCUAAUUCGCACAAAUGUGGUAACUUUGAGAAUUUCAUGUGGCCGACCUUGAUAUAAGCAUAUCUGGGAUUGGAUGAGUUAGAGGCACAAUGAGUAGUGAUAUCAGUAAAAAGGGAAGAAUUGGUCAAGGGAUUUGGGCAGCUUAUAAAAUUAAUAGGCAAGGGUUUAUCAUCAUAUGGAUAACUAGAAUAACUCGGAAUUUCGUAAUUAGGAAUACGAUGAGGAUUUUCGUAGGUAAAAUUGUAAGCAUCUAUAGAAAGGGUGGGAAAAGAGCAGAGGUCGUCAUUGUUUAUGGAAGCAUCGGCCAGCCUGAUGGUGGAGUUGUCGUAGUUGAUGGCUUUGACAUAGUAUUUGUGAGAGUUGAGAGAGAUGGAGGUCACAUUGUUUUCGCAGGCUAACUCAAAUCUGCCAUCACCGCACUUCUUUGGAUCGCCCUUGAGGCGGAAAGGGGAGCUGAUGUGGCGAAUAAUGCCGCAGGCAGAUGGGGUGCAGUUUGCUUCACCGGUUUGAAACAAAUUAUGGAGUAGUGAGAGAAUGAAGAGAGAUGAAGUAGUGAGGAAGAUGAGGUUUUGAGUGAUCAUGGUUUAGACGGCAACUGAUUUUGCAGUCUAUACUCUUUUUUGGAGGAGAUAUAUAUGUGAUGUGUGAGAGCCGAGUCUUCUAUACAGACAGGAUAAGUCAACUACCAAGCAGCUACAGUCAAACAACACUCAUGUUGAGUUAUUUUCGAAGGGACCACGCGCGAAGAAAUGGUGAAGCAGAUGGACCCAACGCAUUAACUCUCUGGCUCCCACACUGCUCCAUAUAUCGACUUUGAUUGCUUUGACAUAGUAUUUGUGAGAGUUGAUAUAGAUGGAAGUCACAUUGUUUUCGCAGGCUAACUCAAUCGCCCUUGAGACGGAAAGGGGAGCUGAUAUUGGGAAAGAUGCCACACGCAGAAGGACUGCAAUAAGAGUUGGCAUUACAAGUUUGAAACAAAUUAUGGAGUAGUAAGAGAAU
This 1250-nucleotide long non-coding RNA is filed under the name Salvia miltiorrhiza (redroot sage). RNAcentral describes it as "long non-coding RNA (SMIL_LNC007203)". Lineage: Eukaryota; Viridiplantae; Streptophyta; Magnoliopsida; Lamiales; Lamiaceae. The record is from RNAcentral.